CUGACAUGUGUGCUAGUCAACGGGUGAGUAAACCCGUAAGGUGCAAGGAAGCUGAUUGGUUGGAUCCCUCACGGGUGCACAGCCGACCGACCUUGAUCUGCUGAGAAGGGUUCUAGUGUGAGCAUGCCUGUCGGGACCCGAAAGAUGGUGACCUAUGCCUGAGCGAGGCAAAGCAAGAGGAAACUCUGGUGGAGGCCCGCAUCGAUAGUGACGUGCAAAUCGUUCGUCUGACUUGGGUAUAGGGGCGAAAGACUAAUCGAACCACCUAGUAGCUGG
This 276-nucleotide non-coding RNA is filed under the name Brassica napus (rape). Its description in RNAcentral is "rRNA LSU_rRNA_eukarya". It matches the Rfam family "Eukaryotic large subunit ribosomal RNA", at positions 675 to 954 of the family's 3401-position model. RNAcentral also lists the same sequence under 1 other name. Lineage: Eukaryota; Viridiplantae; Streptophyta; Magnoliopsida; Brassicales; Brassicaceae. The record is from Rfam by way of RNAcentral.